RNAcentral lists this ribosomal RNA (304 nucleotides) under Conticribra weissflogii. RNAcentral's name for it is "partial Eukaryotic small subunit ribosomal RNA". It matches the Rfam family "Eukaryotic small subunit ribosomal RNA", at positions 1196 to 1518 of the family's 1831-position model. The record is from RNAcentral. Lineage: Eukaryota; Bacillariophyta; Thalassiosirophyceae; Thalassiosirales; Thalassiosiraceae.
UGACCCAACACGGGGAAACUCACCAGGUCCAGAUGAAAUAAGGAUUGACAGAUUGAGAGCUCUUUCUUGAUUUUUCAGGUGGUGGUGCAUGGCCGUUCUUAGUUGGUGGAGUGAUUUGUCUGGUUGAUUCCGUUAACGAACGAGACCACAGCCUGCUAAAUAGUGCGCGUUGUGGCGACACAGUGAGGGGCACUUCUUAGAGGGACACUUUGGGUUUACCAGAGGGAAGUUUGUGGCAAUAACAGGUCUGUGAUGCCCUUAGAUGUUCUGGGCCGCACGCGCGCUACACUGACAGAGCCAGCGA